This 718-nucleotide long non-coding RNA is filed under the name Homo sapiens (human). RNAcentral's name for it is "HSALNT0323399". Lineage: Eukaryota; Metazoa; Chordata; Mammalia; Primates; Hominidae. The record is from RNAcentral.
GUUCGGAGUCAGUGUUAUAAACUCAAUAAUUAAAAGCUGAAAAUUUUUCUUUAAAAUCAGAAAUAAGACAAGGGUGGUCACCUUCAUCACUCUUACUCAGCAUAGUACUGGAAGUCCUUUUAGAGAAAUUAUGCAAAAGGGAAGAAAAAGGCAUCCAAAUGAGAAAAAAAAUGAACUUGUUGAUAUUUGCAGAUGACAUGAUCUUAUAUAUAGAAACCUCAAAAGACUUCAUCAAAAAAACUGUUAGAACUAAUAAACUAAUUCAAUAAACUUGCAGGAUAAAAGUCAACAUACAAAAAAUGAGUUGCAUUCUUAUACACUAACACGAAACUAUCUAAAAAAAGAAAUUUAAAAAGAAUACCAGGAAAAUAGCAGAUAGGAAACAGCACUAACUUUCAGCUCCCAUUCGGAUAAACAGAGCAGCCUCUGGAGACCCACAAUGUGAACUUUUGCUCCAAGAACUAUAGCGGGAACAUACCAGGAAAGCCAAGAGAAUCCACAGACCCUUUGAAGGAGGUGGAUAGCCACUGCAGGCUCUGUGGGAGAGCCAAGAAACUGUGAGUCAGCUUGCUUUUCUAACUUGUAUAAGAUCAUAUGCAAGCCACUCAGUGGGAGUGAGACCAGCCUUUCAGGCCGCGGGCUGCGUGGGAGCUGGGAGAGUUCUGUGACUGGCCGCUUUCCCCCACUUCCCUGGCAACCUGUGUGAUGCAGCAAAGGC